GACAUAGGUGGCGAACGUUAUCCGGAAUUAUUGGGCGUAAAGGGUGCGUAGGUGGUUUAAUAAGUUACUGGUGGGAAAUCGGGGCCCAACCCCGUGGAAGUCGGUAAUACUAUUAAACUAGAGGUCUGGAGGGGUUAACGGAACUCCAUGUGUAGGGUAAAAUCCUUAAAUAUAUGGAUGAACACCAAACGGCGAAGGCAGU
Molecule: ribosomal RNA, 202 nt
Filed under: uncultured bacterium
Lineage: Bacteria
Description: partial 16S ribosomal RNA
Rfam family: Bacterial small subunit ribosomal RNA
Source: RNAcentral